Solea senegalensis (Senegalese sole) is the source of this 382-nucleotide long non-coding RNA. RefSeq lists it as uncharacterized. NCBI's taxonomy places the organism in Eukaryota, Metazoa, Chordata, Actinopteri, Pleuronectiformes, Soleidae. The record is from RefSeq and is a predicted model, not a curated record. The transcript is spliced from 3 exons.
UAUGGUCCUGACCACCUGAGAGUAGCACCACGCAAUAAUGACGAAGGGCACGAAGAAGCCCAGCAGAUGGAGGACAAUUCCGUAUGAUCCAGGGACUCUGCUGCCUCUGCGCCUGAUGUAUCCCGUCUGAGCGAACCUGAAGAUGGGGCAGGUGAGAAUGAAAACCACCACCCACACCAAUGCGCAGGUCCCCUUCACCACCCGCUUGCUCUCCAGAGUGAUGGUCCUCAUCGGAUGGCAAAUCCCCAAGUACCUGUGGAGGACAACCAGCGGCAGGCAGUGCAUCUAGCACAACAAGGUGAGGUGCAUUCACACAAAUACGACGCAAAUCCACCCGUCCUCCACAUGAGGGUCGCGGGGGCGCUGUUCCAAUCACAGCUGA